RNAcentral lists this transfer RNA (34 nucleotides) under Rhodosorus marinus. Its description in RNAcentral is "partial Selenocysteine transfer RNA". The record is from RNAcentral. Lineage: Eukaryota; Rhodophyta; Stylonematophyceae; Stylonematales; Stylonemataceae.
UUUCGGCUGGUCGUGUAGGUGGACUUCAAACCGA